GAUGAAGAACGUAGCGAAAUGCGAUAAGUAAUGUGAAUUGCAGAAUUCAGUGAAUCAUCGAAUCUUUGAACGCACAUUGCACUCAUUAGUAUUCUAGUGAGUAUGCCUGUUCGAGCGUCAUUUCAACCCUUAAGCCUAGCUUAGUGUUGGGACUCUACCCUAACCGGUAGUUCCCCAAAAUCAGUUGGCGGAGUUCAGUCGGCUCUGAGUGUAGUAAUUUUCUCUCGCUUUAGAAGUCUUCUGGAUUACGGCAAGAAAGAGACGAGUCUCGCAUCUCGGUGCGUUUCUCAACUUUUUUUUACAAUGGUUGACCUCGGAUCAGGUAGGAAUACCCGCUGAACUUAAGCAUAUCAAUAAGCGGAGGA
Molecule: unclassified non-coding RNA, 365 nt
Filed under: soil metagenome
Description: partial contains 5.8S ribosomal RNA, internal transcribed spacer 2, and large subunit ribosomal RNA
Rfam family: 5.8S ribosomal RNA (bases 1-120)
Source: RNAcentral